Molecule: transfer RNA, 75 nt
Filed under: Desulfobacteraceae bacterium
Lineage: Bacteria; Pseudomonadati; Thermodesulfobacteriota; Desulfobacteria; Desulfobacterales; Desulfobacteraceae
Description: tRNA-Glu
Rfam family: tRNA
About the family: Transfer RNA (tRNA) molecules are approximately 80 nucleotides in length. Their secondary structure includes four short double-helical elements and three loops (D, anti-codon, and T loops). Further hydrogen bonds mediate the characteristic L-shaped molecular structure. tRNAs have two regions of fundamental functional importance: the anti-codon, which is responsible for specific mRNA codon recognition, and the 3' end, to which the tRNAs corresponding amino acid is attached (by aminoacyl-tRNA synthetases). tRNAs cope with the degeneracy of the genetic code in two manners: having more than one tRNA (with a specific anti-codon) for a particular amino acid; and 'wobble' base-pairing, i.e. permitting non-standard base-pairing at the 3rd anti-codon position.
Source: RNAcentral
GCCCCUGUCGUCUAGCCUGGUCUAGGACAUCGCCCUUUCAAGGCGGCAACACGGGUUCGAAUCCCGUCGGGGGCG